Chenopodium quinoa (quinoa) is the source of this 482-nucleotide long non-coding RNA. RefSeq lists it as uncharacterized. The record is from RefSeq and is a predicted model, not a curated record. NCBI's taxonomy places the organism in Eukaryota, Viridiplantae, Streptophyta, Magnoliopsida, Caryophyllales, Amaranthaceae. The transcript is spliced from 3 exons.
AUAGCUGAAAACAUAAAAACGGACAAUCAACACCGUAGAUUAUGACCCAUCAAAUCUCACGGCUGAGAUUAAAACACAUAUUCUCCCUCAAAUCCCUAACUCACCGUCCAAAAUUUCCUCUCUCCUCAAACUUGCAAACCUCUUGUCUUUCUCUCUCCUCAAAUCCCAAAAUUGAACACAAAUUGCUGGAAAUUGAAGAAUUUUUGUUCAAAUUUCGCAUAAACAACCUAAAAUUGCUCAAAUCAGAAAUGGAGAGGCAACAAUAAAAGCCUUUGUUUCUGUUAGUUUUCUCUUGGAGACCAGCCGCUUGCUGCUCAAUUUCAGGAAAUUCCUGCAGAGCUUCGGAUGUCAGAAGCUGAGAGGGUUGGAUAUGAACUUUUGAAAUCAACUGUGGCGGACAAAAUUCCAAGUGAUUUGGAAGGCAUGGAAAGUACUCUGGAGAGGUUGCUGGCUUUAAUUGAAAUGGACCAAAGCAAACCUGA